Macaca mulatta (Rhesus monkey) is the source of this 1467-nucleotide non-coding RNA. The record is from RefSeq and is a predicted model, not a curated record. NCBI's taxonomy places the organism in Eukaryota, Metazoa, Chordata, Mammalia, Primates, Cercopithecidae.
ACAUUCUAAUUUGCUUUUUUUUUUUUUGCAUUAGGAAGGAGAUAUUUUUUUCUUUUCUUUUGAGAAGAAAUAUUCCUUUUAUUCCUGAAGUUGGGAGAAGAAAUCUGACAGUUACUGAACAAGUUAUUUCACUCCUCGGCACUGAGCAAAGAGAAGUUAAAUGUUUCUCAGAGAGAGGUGCAGCAAAAGGGGAAAGCCUGUAGGAGGAGGGCAUGGCAGAUCUGGAAGAGAAUCAAAGUCAAGUUCACAAGAGUUAUUUCUGGUGAAGAAAUGUCAUGAUCAGGUCUGAAUGCAGAACAAUAUAAAAUUAAGAACUAAGUGCUUCAUCAAGUUUCUGCAGGGCCCAGCAUGACGUGGCUUUCCCUGCCUCUCUAGAUGUGAUACGCCUUCCUACUCCUGUCCUUUUGAGGUGUGCAUUUUCUGUCUCUAGUUUAACAUCAAGAGGAAACUAUUGAACAGGAUUUCAUAAUGACAGCUUCAGAGUUCAAGCUAGUGAGGUACAGAGACUGUUGCUCCUUCCCUGCAAAACAGCUCUGGAAGAAUGAAGGUAAAGAAGUGAAAAAACGGAAAUGAAAACAAAGCAGUGAGAAAUGGCUGAAGAGUCUGAAGUCUGUCUUGAACGCAUGCGGGUGAACAUCAAGAAGGCAGCCGCAGACAACGUGAAGGAGGUCAGAGGAAAGCUCUCCCUGCUCUUGCCUUUUCCCUUCAUACCUUGGGCAGAUACCUUCCACCUGGACGUCUGCAGGAAGAGCCCAGCCCCAGGUGUGUAUAGGAAGGGAUAACUUGGCAGUGGCAAACCUUGCUGGGGGAAUUUUGAAGAUCAGUGAGCGCUGAUCAGUCCCUCCUUGGACAAUCACUCUCUCUUUCUUUCCCCUUCUUGCCCUUAUAAUCAGUGAGUUACAGUUCAGGGAACCUGACUCCUCCCACUGUGGCACCCCCUAAGGCAGCACUUCUCAAACUGUGGUCCCAAGACCAGCAGCAUCUGCAUCACUAGGGGACUUGUUAGAGAUGCCAGUCACCAGGUCCAUCCUGAACAAGCCAUGCAAGAGACUCUGGGGGUGGGACCCAGCACUCUGUACUGUAAUAGGCUCUCUGGUGAUUCAGAUUCACAAUGAAACUUGAAAACCACCCCCUUAAGGGUCUGAAAGUGAAACACUGAGCAGCACAGUGGUAGGGACCAAGAGUGGGUCUAUGAUGCACAGGCUCCUGGCUGCCCUCAGAGUUUAUUCCUUAACCUGUUCCUGAAAUUCUCCGCCACUAAGCUGACUUUUGGCUCUUUAUCCAAAAAAUUACCAGAGUAACCGAUUCUCCCAAAGAAACAUGAGCUUACAGGUCAAAAUAACUUCAUAACUGAGGAGUACACACACUAUAAAUGAAAGACAAAAACCGGAACCAUCCAAAGCAGAGGUAUUACAACAGAAGUACAAAAAGAUUUAAAAUAAGUGUAACUCUACUUAAAAAGAUAAA